CCUACGGGAGGCAGCAGUGGGGAAUAUUGGACAAUGGGGGCAACCCUGAUCCAGCCAUGCCGCGUGAGUGAAGAAGGCCCUAGGGUUGUAAAGCUCUUUCAGCGGGGAAGAUGAUGACGGUACCCGCAGAAGAAGCCCCGGCUAACUCCGUGCCAGCAGCCGCGGUAAUACGGAGGGGGCUAGCGUUGCUCGGAAUUACUGGGCGUAAAGGGCGCGUAGGCGGAUUUCUCAGUCAGGCGUGAAAGCCCCGGGCUCAACCCGGGAACUGCGUUUGAUACUAGAAGUCUAGAGAUCUGGAGAGGGUGGUGGAAUUCCCAGUGUAGAGGUGAAAUUCGUAGAUAUUGGGAAGAACACCGGUGGCGAAGGCGGCCACCUGGCCAGACACUGACGCUAAGGCGCGAAAGCGUGGGGAGCAAACAGGAUUAGAUACUCUGGUAGUCCACGCCGUAAACGAUGUGUGCUAGACGUCGGGCAGCUUGCUGUUCGGUGUCGCAGCUAACGCGUUAAGCACACCGCCUGGGGAGUACGGUCGCAAGAUUAAAACUCAAAGGAAUUGACGG
Molecule: ribosomal RNA, 560 nt
Filed under: uncultured Alphaproteobacteria bacterium
Lineage: Bacteria; Pseudomonadati; Pseudomonadota; Alphaproteobacteria
Description: bacterial SSU rRNA
Rfam family: Bacterial small subunit ribosomal RNA
Source: RNAcentral